This 412-nucleotide ribosomal RNA is filed under the name uncultured bacterium. Its description in RNAcentral is "bacterial LSU rRNA". It matches the Rfam family "Bacterial large subunit ribosomal RNA", at positions 2197 to 2607 of the family's 2925-position model. The record is from RNAcentral.
AUACCACCCUUGUGUCGUUGAGGUUCUAACCUGGACCCCUUAUCGGGGUCGGGGACCGUGCAUGGUAGGCAGUUUGACUGGGGCGGUCUCCUCCCAAAAGGUAACGGAGGAGCACGAAGGUUGGCUAGACACGGUCGGAAAUCGUGUUGAUAGUGCAAGGGCAUAAGCCAGCUUAACUGCGAGACGGACAUGUCGAGCAGAUGCGAAAGCAGGUCCUAGUGAUCCGGUGGUUCUGAAUGGAAGGGCCAUCGCUCAACGGAUAAAAGGUACUCUGGGGAUAACAGGGCUGAUUCCGCCCAAGAGUUCACAUCGACGGCGGAGUUUGGCACCUCGAUGUCGGCUCAUCUCAUCCUGGGGCUGUAGCCGGUCCCAAGGGUAUGGCUGUUCGCCAUUUAAAGAGGUACGUGAGCUG